GGAACAUGUGGUUUAAUUCGUAUGAUACGCGAGGAACCGUUACCCGGCUUGAAUUGCAGAGGAACAUAGUUGAAAGAUUAUGGCCGCAAGGUCUCUGUGAAGGUGCUGCAUGGUUGUCGUCAGCUCGUGCCGUGAGGUGUCGGCUUAAGUGCCAUAACGAGCGCAACCCUUAUCAUUAGUUACUAACAGGUCAUGCUGAGGACUCUAGUGAGACUGCCGUCGUAAGAUGUGAGGAAGGUGGGGAUGACGUCAAAUCAGCACGGCCCUUACGUCCGGGGCUACACACGUGUUACAAUGGGGGUACAGAGGGCAGCUACCGGGCGACCGGAUGCCAAUCCCAAAAACCUCUCUCAGUUCGGAUCGAAGUCUGCAACCCGACUUCGUGAAGCUGGAUUCGCUAGUAAUCGCGCAUCAGCCACGGCGCGGUGAAUACGUUCCCGGGCCUU
Molecule: ribosomal RNA, 446 nt
Filed under: uncultured Bacteroides sp.
Lineage: Bacteria; Pseudomonadati; Bacteroidota; Bacteroidia; Bacteroidales; Bacteroidaceae
Description: bacterial SSU rRNA
Rfam family: Bacterial small subunit ribosomal RNA
Source: RNAcentral